UCAAAUAGCAAGCUCUGAGCCUUUUAGA
Molecule: non-coding RNA, 28 nt
Filed under: Mus musculus (house mouse)
Lineage: Eukaryota; Metazoa; Chordata; Mammalia; Rodentia; Muridae
Source: RNAcentral